This 402-nucleotide ribosomal RNA is filed under the name uncultured bacterium. RNAcentral's name for it is "partial 16S ribosomal RNA". It matches the Rfam family "Archaeal small subunit ribosomal RNA", at positions 473 to 873 of the family's 1478-position model. The record is from RNAcentral.
ACACCGGCAGCUCAAGUGGUAGCCGCUUUUAUUGGGCCUAAAGCGUCCGUAGCCGGUCUGAUAAGUCUCUGGUGAAAUCCCGCAGCUUAACUGUGGGAAUUGCUGGAGAUACUAUCAUGACUCGAGGUCGGGAGAGGCUGGAGGUACUCCCAGGGUAGGGGUGAAAUCCUGUAAUCCUGGGAGGACCACCUGUGGCGAAGGCGUCCAGCUGGAACGAACCUGACGGUGAGGGACGAAAGCCAGGGGCGCGAACCGGAUUAGAUACCCGGGUAGUCCUGGCCGUAAACGAUGUGGACUUGGUGUUGGGAUGGCUUCGAGCUGCCCCAGUGCCGAAGGGAAGCUGUUAAGUACACCGCCUGGGAAGUACGGCCGCAAGGCUGAAACUUAAAUGAAUUGGCGGGG